GAUGAGUCCGCGGCCCAUCAGCUAGUUGGCGGUGUAAUAGACCACCAAGGCUAAGACGGGUAGCUGGUCUGAGAGGAUGAUCAGCCACACUGGAACUGAGACACGGUCCAGACUCCUACGGGAGGCAGCAGUGGGGAAUAUUGGGCAAUGGGCGCAAGUCUGACCCAGCCAUGCCGCGUGAGUGAUGAAGGCCUUCGGGUCGUAAAGCUCUGUGGGGAGGGAAGAAACCGCUUGCCGAUAAUACCGGCGAGUCUUGACGGUACCUCCUUAGCAAGCACCGGCUAACUCCGUGCCAGCAGCCGCGGUAAUACGGAGGGUGCAAACGUUGCUCGGAAUCAUUGGGCGUAAAGCGCACGUAGGCGGCCUGUUAAGUCGGGUGUGAAAGCCCUGGGCUCAACCCAGGAAGUGCACUCGAAACUGGCGGGCUUGAAUAUGGAAGAGGGUCGCGGAAUUCCCGGUGUAGAGGUGAAAUUCGUAGAUAUCGGGAGG
This 489-nucleotide ribosomal RNA is filed under the name uncultured Pseudomonadota bacterium. Its description in RNAcentral is "bacterial SSU rRNA". It matches the Rfam family "Bacterial small subunit ribosomal RNA", at positions 224 to 704 of the family's 1533-position model. The record is from RNAcentral. Lineage: Bacteria; Pseudomonadati; Pseudomonadota.